GGACGAACGCUGGCGGCGUGCUUAACACAUGCAAGUCGAACGGAAAGGCCCUGCUUGCAGUGAUACUCGAGUGGCGAACGGGUGAGUAACACGUGGGUGAUCUGCCCUGCACUUCGGGAUAAGCUUGGGAAACUGGGUCUAAUACCGGAUAGGAACCAUCUUUAGUGUGGUGGUUGGAAAGUUUUUUCGAGUGUAGGAUGAGCUCGCGGCCUAUCAGCUUGUUGGUGGGGUAAUGGCCUACCAAGGCGGCGACGGGUAGCCGGCCUGAGAGGGUGUACGGCCACAUUGGGACUGAGAUACGGCCCAGACUCCUACGGGAGGCAGCAGUGGGGAAUAUUGCACAAUGGGCGCAAGCCUGACGCAGCGACGCCGCGUGGGGGAUGAAGGCCUUCGGGUUGUAAACUCCUUUCGCUAGGGACGAAGCUUUUUGUGACGGUACCUAGAUAAGAAGCACCGGCUAACUACGUGCCAGCAGCCGCGGUAAUACGUAGGGUGCGAGCGUUGUCCGGAAUUACUGGGCGUAAAGGGCUCGUAGGUGGUUUGUCGCGUCGUCUGUGAAAUUCUGGGGCUUAACUCCGGGCGUGCAGGCGAUACGGGCAUAACUUGAGUGCUGUAGGGGUAACUGGAAUUCCUGGUGUAGCGGUGAAAUGCGCAGAUAUCAGGAGGAACACCGAUGGUCGAAGGCAGGUUACUGGGCAGUUACUGACGCUGAGGAGCG
RNAcentral lists this ribosomal RNA (718 nucleotides) under uncultured Actinomycetales bacterium. Its description in RNAcentral is "bacterial SSU rRNA". It matches the Rfam family "Bacterial small subunit ribosomal RNA", at positions 27 to 755 of the family's 1533-position model. The record is from RNAcentral. Lineage: Bacteria; Bacillati; Actinomycetota; Actinomycetes; Actinomycetales.